GAUGAACGCUAGCGAUAGGCCUAACACAUGCAAGUCGAGGGGCGUCACAUGAAGUAGCAAUACGGAUGGUGGCGACCGGCGCACGGGUGAGUAACACGUAUGCAACCUGCCUUCAACAAGGGGAUAACCCGUUGAAAAACGGACUAAUACCCUAUAAUACAGGGGUCCCGCAUGGGGAUAUUUGUUAAAGAUUGAUCGGUUGAAGAUGGGCAUGCGUUCCAUUAGCUGGUUGGUGAGGUAACGGCUCACCAAGGCAACGAUGGAUAGGGGAACUGAGAGGUUUAUCCCCCACACUGGUACUGAGACACGGACCAGACUCCUACGGGAGGCAGCAGUGAGGAAUAUUGGUCAAUGGACGCAAGUCUGAACCAGCCACGUCGCGUGAAGGAAGACGGCCCUACGGGUUGUAAACUGCUUUUGCAGGGGAAUAAAGUGAGCCACGUGUGGUUUUUGUAUGUACUCUGCGAAUAAGGAUCGGCUAACUCCGUGCCAGCAGCCGCGGU
RNAcentral lists this ribosomal RNA (503 nucleotides) under uncultured bacterium. Its description in RNAcentral is "bacterial SSU rRNA". It matches the Rfam family "Bacterial small subunit ribosomal RNA", at positions 28 to 521 of the family's 1533-position model. The record is from RNAcentral.